Molecule: ribosomal RNA, 1718 nt
Filed under: Centromerus trilobus
Lineage: Eukaryota; Metazoa; Arthropoda; Arachnida; Araneae; Linyphiidae
Description: SSU rRNA
Rfam family: Eukaryotic small subunit ribosomal RNA
Source: RNAcentral
GUUGAACCUGCAAUGGCUCAUUAAAUCAGUUAUGGUUCCUUGGAUCGUACUUUACCACUUGGAUAACUGUGGCAAUUCUAGAGCUAAUACAUGCAGCAGAGCUCCGACCUUCGGGGACGAGCGCUUUUAUUAGACCAAAACCAAUCGGGCCUCGUGUCCGUUGAACGUGGUGACUCUGUAUAACUUUUGGCUGAUCGCACGGGCCUGUCCCGGCGACGUAUCUUUCAAGUGUCUGCCUUAUCAACUGUCGAUGGUAGGUUACGCGCCUACCAUGGUCGUAACGGGUGACGGGGAAUCAGGGUUCGAUUCCGGAGAGGGAGCCUGAGAAACGGCUACCACAUCCAAGGAAGGCAGCAGGCGCGCAAAUUACCCAAUCCCAGAACGGGGAGGUAGUGACGAAAAAUAACAAUACGGGACUCUUUUGAGACCCCGUAAUUGGAAUGAGUACACUCUAAACUCUUUUUCGAUUAUCAAUUGGAGGGCAAGCCUAGUGCCAGCAGCCGCGGUAAUUCUAGCUCCAAUAGCGUAUAUUAAAGUUGUUGCGGUUAAAAAGCUCGUAGUUGGAUCUCAGUUCCAGUCGGGCGGUCCGCCUACCGGCGAUAACUGCCCGUUCUGAACACGGCAGCCGGUUUCCCUUGAUGAUCUUCACCGGUUGUCUCGGGUGACCGGCAAGUUUACUUUGAAAAAAUUAGAGUGCUCAAAGCAGGCGCGACGCCUGAAUAAUGGUGCAUGGAAUAAUGGAAUAGGACCUCGGUUCUAUUUUGUUGGUUUUCGGAACACGAGGUAAUGAUUAAUAGGGACAGACGGGGGCAUUCGUAUUGCGACGCUAGAGGUGAAAUUCUUGGACCGUCGCAAGACGAACUACUGCGAAAGCAUUUGCCAAGAAUGUUUCCAUCAAUCAAGAACGAAAGUUAGAGGAUCGAAGGCGAUCAGAUACCGCCCUAGUUCUAACCAUAAACGAUGCCAGCCAGCGAUCCGGCUGUGUUCCUCAAAUGACACGCCGGGCAGCUUCCAGGAAACUAUUGCUAGGUUCCGGGGGAAGUAUGGUUGCAAAGCUGAAACUUAAAGGAAUUGACGGAAGAGCACCACAAGGCAUGGAGCUUGCGGCUUAAUUUGACUCAACACACGGGAGCCUACCCGGCCCGGACACAGGAAGGAUUGACAGAUUGAGAGCUCUUUCUUGAUUCUGUGGGUGGUGGUGCAUGGCCGUUCUUAGUUGGUGGGGCGACUUGUCUGGUCAAUUCCGAUAACGAACGAGAUUCUAACCUACUAAAUAGACGCUCCGAUCCUUCGAGUCGGAUGUCUUCUUAGAGGGACAGGCGGCGUUUAGCCGCACGAGACAGAGCAAUAACAGGUCUGUUAUGCCCUUAGAUGUCCGGGGCCGCACGCGUGCUACAUUGAAGGAAUCAUCGUGUGCUUUCCCUGUCCGAAAGGACUGGGUAACCCGUUGAAACUCCUUCGUGCUAGGGAUAGGGGAUUGUAAUUAUCCCCCUUGAACGAGGAAUGCCCAGUAAGCGCGAGUCACCAGCUCGCGUUGAUUGCGUCCCUGCUCUUUGUCCACACCGCCCGUCGCUAUGACCGAUUGAAUGAUUUAGUGAGGUCUUCGGACUGGCGCUCGGAUUGGCUUUCGGGUCGAGCCGACGUGCCGGAAAGAUGACCGAACUUGAUUAUUUAGAGGACAUAAAAGUCGUAACAAGGUUACCGUAGGUGAACCUGCG